This 211-nucleotide long non-coding RNA is filed under the name Elaeis guineensis (African oil palm). RNAcentral describes it as "long non-coding RNA (EGUI_LNC023412)". The record is from RNAcentral. Lineage: Eukaryota; Viridiplantae; Streptophyta; Magnoliopsida; Arecales; Arecaceae.
CAUUAUGAUGACUUGCAAGAAACUCACUAUGCUUUGGUGUUGGACUAUCUGAAUUUUUAAUUCUAUGAUAGAAAGCUUCUGAGUAUAUUCAAGUAUUUAUUAAGUCGGUGUGUGAGUCAAGAUGGGAUUGACCCCUUCAAAUUAUGGGAGUUAAUGCAUCACUAUAUUUCAAUUUAGUAAAAUUUUGAUCAGGGUAAUCCAUGUAAUAAAU